Molecule: non-coding RNA, 18 nt
Filed under: Arabidopsis thaliana (thale cress)
Lineage: Eukaryota; Viridiplantae; Streptophyta; Magnoliopsida; Brassicales; Brassicaceae
Also listed under: 1 other name
Source: RNAcentral
GGAUGCGAUCAUACCAGC